Molecule: ribosomal RNA, 410 nt
Filed under: uncultured bacterium
Lineage: Bacteria
Description: bacterial SSU rRNA
Rfam family: Bacterial small subunit ribosomal RNA
Source: RNAcentral
ACUCCUACGGGAGGCAGCAGUGGGGAAUCUUGGACAAUGGGCGCAAGCCUGAUCCAGCCAUGCCGCGUGAGUGAUGAAGGCCCUAGGGUCGUAAAGCUCUUUCGCCUGUGAUGAUAAUGACAGUAGCAGGUAAAGAAACCCCGGCUAACUCCGUGCCAGCAGCCGCGGUAAUACGGAGGGGGGUUAGCGUUGUUCGGAAUUACUGGGGCGUAAAGCGCGCGUAGGCGGACUAUUAAGUCAGAGGUGAAAUCCCGGGGCUCAACCCCGGAACUGCCUUUGAUACUGGUAGUCUAGAGUUCGAGAGAGGUGAGUGGAAUUCCGAGUGUAGAGGUGAAAUUCGUAGAUAUUCGGAGGAACACCAGUGGCGAAGGCGGCUCACUGGCUCGAUACUGACGCUGAGGUGCGAAAGU